UUCGCCGCCCGUCGGUGUCAACUGGCAUGUCCUGUGGAACGUCCUGCCGGUGGCGGACCGGGCUUUCGGCUUGCGUAAGGGCUUACGCUCGAAGCAGGCCGAACAGUACCGGCCGCCGGUCCAAUCCCGCCACGGUGCUCUUCACCGAGUGUCGAGGUGGGCCGGCACGUUUACUUUGAACAAAUUAGAGUGCUUAAAGCAGGCUGGUGUCCGCCUGAAUACUGUGUGCAUGGAAUAAUAGAAUAGGACCUCGGUUCUAUUUUGUUGGUUUUCGGAACCCGAGGUAAUGAUUAAUAGGGACAGGCGGGGGCAUUCGUAUUGCGACGUUAGAGGUGAAAUUCUUGGAUCGUCGCAAGACGAACCUAAGCGAAAGCAUUUGCCAAGUAUGUUCUCGUUAAUCAAGAACGAAAGUUAGAGGUUCGAAGGCGAUCAGAUACCGCCCUAGUUCUAACCAUAAACGAUGCCAGCCAGCGAUCCGCCGAAGUUCCUCCGAUGACUCGGCGGGCAGCUUCCGGGAAACCAAAGCUUUUGGGUUCCGGGGGAAGUAUGGUUGCAAAGCUGAAACUUAAAGGAAUUGACGGAAGGGCACCACCAGGAGUGGAGCCUGCGGCUUAAUUUGACUCAACACGGGAAACCUCACCAGGCCCGGACACCGGAAGGAUUGACAGAUUGAGAGCUCUUUCUUGAUUCGGUGGGUGGUGGUGCAUGGCCGU
Molecule: ribosomal RNA, 713 nt
Filed under: Aeneolamia contigua
Lineage: Eukaryota; Metazoa; Arthropoda; Insecta; Hemiptera; Cercopidae
Description: SSU rRNA
Rfam family: Eukaryotic small subunit ribosomal RNA
Source: RNAcentral